AUGGGGCUGAAGGUCACUCAAUACUACAUCUUUGUUAUAAUGUUAACCAAAGGUGUCAGCAGUGAUGAGAUCAGACUGGACCAGUCUCCUGCUGUGGUAAAGAGACCUGGAGAAACUGUGAAGAUCUCCUGUAAGAUAAAUGGAUAUUCAAUGACAAGCCACAACAUACACUGGAUCAGACAGAAACCAGGGAAAGCUCUGGAAUGGCUUGGCUGGAUGAAUACAGGCAAUAAUGAUCCAACAUAUGCAGAGUCUGUGAAGAACCAGCUCACUUUUACAGAAGACGUCUCAGCAAGCACACAGUACUUAGAGGCCAAGACCCUGAGGACAGAGGACACUGCGGUUUAUUACUGCGCCCGACAAGCCACAGUGACUGGAGCUGAGGAAGCAGCUGUACAAAAACCAGACACACAUUUUCACACAGAGUUUAUUUUGAACAAGUCACAUGUCCUGUUAUCAUUUAUCUGUUAUGUUCUAUGA
Tachysurus vachellii is the source of this 480-nucleotide non-coding RNA. The record is from the annotation of a RefSeq genome assembly. Lineage: Eukaryota; Metazoa; Chordata; Actinopteri; Siluriformes; Bagridae.